GACGAACGCUGGCGGCGUGCCUAAUACAUGCCAGUAGAACGCUGAAGCUUGGUGCUUGCACCGAGCGGAUGAGUUGCGAACGGGUGAGUAACGCGUAGGUAACCUGCCUGGUAGCGGGGGAUAACUAUUGGAAACGAUAGCUAAUACCGCAUAAGAGUAGAUGUUGCAUGACAUUUGCUUAAAAGGUGCAAUUGCAUCACUACCAGAUGGACCUGCGUUGUAUUAGCUAGUUGGUGAGGUAACGGCUCACCAAGGCAACGAUACAUAGCCGACCUGAGAGGGUGGUCGGCCACACUGGGACUGAGACACGGCCCAGACUCCUACGGGAGGCAGCAGUAGGGAAUCUUCGGCAAUGGACGGAAGUCUGACCGAGAAACGCCGCGUGAGUGAAGAAGGUUUUCGGAUCGUAAAGCUCUGUUGUAAGAGAAGAACGAGUGUGAGAGUGGAAAGUUCACACUGUGACGGUAUCUUACCAGAAAGGGACGGCUAACUACGUG
This 497-nucleotide ribosomal RNA is filed under the name uncultured bacterium. Its description in RNAcentral is "partial 16S ribosomal RNA". It matches the Rfam family "Bacterial small subunit ribosomal RNA", at positions 28 to 507 of the family's 1533-position model. The record is from RNAcentral.